CGACUAAGGUUCGAUUCGAGCGAAAGCGAGAAAGCGUUGCCGCAGGCAACGACCCGAAGGGCGAAACGCGCAGCGCUGAGUCAUCCUUCCCCCACCACCA
Molecule: small RNA, 100 nt
Filed under: Salmonella enterica
Lineage: Bacteria; Pseudomonadati; Pseudomonadota; Gammaproteobacteria; Enterobacterales; Enterobacteriaceae
Also listed under: 2 other names
Description: partial RtT sRNA
Rfam family: RtT RNA
About the family: This family represents a bacterial cis-regulatory element known as RtT RNA. The exact function of RtT is unknown although it is thought that it may be involved in changing the cellular response in relation to amino acid starvation.
Source: RNAcentral